This 500-nucleotide ribosomal RNA is filed under the name uncultured Myrionecta. Its description in RNAcentral is "bacterial SSU rRNA". It matches the Rfam family "Eukaryotic small subunit ribosomal RNA", at positions 1213 to 1800 of the family's 1831-position model. The record is from RNAcentral. Lineage: Eukaryota; Ciliophora; Litostomatea; Cyclotrichida; Mesodiniidae.
ACUUACCAGGUCAAGACAUGGGCGUGAUUGACAGGCUAAUGACUUUUCUCGAUUCCAUGGAUGGUGGUGCAUGGUCGCACUUAGUUGGUGCAGUGAUUUGUCAGGUUUAUUCCGGUAACGAACGAGACCUCGGCCUUGUAAAUAGCUAUGCUGCUUACAGGGACAUUGGCGGCUACGCCAAGGAAGCUCGAGGCAAUUGCAGAUCUGGAAUGCCCUUAGAUGUCCUGGGUCGCACGCGUGCUACAAUGACGCCACGAACGAGCUUGCGUGAUGAAAGUUACGCAUAAUCAGCAGUCGGCGUCUUAAGGGAUAGUCUCUUGUAACUGUGGGACUCCAACUAGGAAUGUCUCGUAAGCACAAGUCAACAUCUUGUGUUGAUUACGUCCCUGCUCUUUGUACACACCGCCCGUCGCUCCUACCGAUCGAGUGUUUAGGUGAAUUUGAUGGACGUAAGGAAGUCAAAUAAACCUGAGCACUAGAGAAGAGAAGUCGAACAUGUU